CAGGGAGGGCUCCGGGGGCGGACGCGCGCUCGCCUCUCAGGAGUGAGAGAAGGGAGGCGGCGGCGAGCUGCCUCAUGGCCCCGGACGGUCGCCCGUGUUCCCGGGACCGAGCGGCCUCUAACGGGACGAGCCAGGGCUAGCCGGCGGGCGGGGGCCGCGGGUGAUCCCAUAAAGUGGAUACUGUUACUAGCCCUAUUUUACAAUCUGCCCAAGAAGGGGUGAGGCCUGGAAGUGAGGCGCGCAGAGAUGGGACGUACAACACAAAGUCUGGAGAGGGCGCCUCCAGAUGCUUCUUUGCAGGGCUUGCUGCCUCUUGAACCAUGAACUUUGUCUCAAAAGCCAUCUGGUUUCUCGUCUCGAAAACAUCCCACGGCAGCUCUGAGUGCUACAGACCAGGCUGGGUCAUCUGCUGCUGCUGGCUUCCAGAUAUUGCUCCAAACGUUUCUGCAAGGCUGGUGACGUCCCAAGGCACUGAGACUUUAGAUGCCCACCGCCCAAUAUUUGGUAGUGCUCACAAAACAUGUCGAUGGAGAAAAAAGUAUGACUGCAACACGGGGCAGCAAUAGGUAACAGGGAAGACCUGCGCGCACACUAGGUUUACGCCCCGCUUCAUUCGAGGCCCUUGGAGGAAGCUGGAAGAGCAUGUAUGUACUUCAGUAAUCUCCAACUGGUCUUUCUGUGCAUGAACUCAAGAGCUGGAACUGUAUUACAAAGCAAGGAGCUGGUGCUCAGCAUUCAGCAGGGAGUUCUCAGGGGCCUACGUCCAGGAUUUUAGAUGAUGUUCACCUUUUCACGAGUAAACUUACCAAGAGUAACUUAAAUCACAGCUUUAGGUAUCCUAACAACAGCUUGUUAUAUCCUUGGGCACAGUUACAUGAGGAUGCACCUAUAUAUCCAUCAGCAGGUGUGGGGGGAUAGCUCCAACAAAUACCUUUGACUUUGAAGAGACAAACCUGACCGCUGUAGUGUGGCCUCAGGCUCCAAAUGAAUGCCUCAAUGCAGCCCAACUUGCUCAAUGCCCAGGCAAGGCCACAGACGGCACCCAGUGCUUCUGUGCCGCUGAAUAUAGUGUAGAGAUCCUGAUGUUUGCUAAUUGCUGCUUUUCCUUCUUUUUUCCUUUCUUUUUAAGAUCUUCUCAUGCAGCAAAGUUCCUGUCUACCAACAUGAGUUGCAGUCUAAAGCCACAGUGAAUUUUGUGACAGUAACAUUAACAAUCCAGUGGUAUAGAAACAUUCUAGUCUUCCUGUAAACGUACUGAACACGGAGAACAGAAAUGAUUCUAGGAAUGACUUUGGUUUUUUAAAUUAUUCUUGAGGGAGAUAUAAAGAGCACAGCAUCUUUGAAUUCUUGAGGCACGGUCACAAUACGCCAUGUGUUAUGGAAAAGCUGACACACAAAUAUGGGUCAUUAUUACUCUCCUUCUAAGAACUGCAAGAGAGUGAGAGAGAGAGAGAGAGAGAAGCUGCAGCAAUCCAGACCAGAUGAUAUGCUAACACCAAACAGAAGAAGAAACGAUCACAUACACACUCACUAUACACUGGACUCCCUACUCUGUACGUACCCUCUGUUCU
Long non-coding RNA from Delphinapterus leucas (beluga whale), 1571 nucleotides. RefSeq lists it as uncharacterized. Lineage: Eukaryota; Metazoa; Chordata; Mammalia; Artiodactyla; Monodontidae. The record is from RefSeq and is a predicted model, not a curated record.